Long non-coding RNA from Apus apus (common swift), 521 nucleotides. RefSeq lists it as uncharacterized. The record is from RefSeq and is a predicted model, not a curated record. Lineage: Eukaryota; Metazoa; Chordata; Aves; Apodiformes; Apodidae. The transcript is spliced from 2 exons.
GGAUGGGCCCGAGGGCGGCGGGAGGAGCUGAAGCAGAGGAGACAACGCGCAGCCGGUCCGUCCCCGGGGUCGUCGUUUGAAAGGGACUCGAACUCUCCCGGCCGUCCCGGCGCUUCUGCCGGGAUGCCGCUGGGAAGGGAGAGCGCGGACCGAGUGAUGAUCCUACAGAUGGCCAGUCAGCAGAUCCCUGUGAAGCCUGCAACACAGAAGCACGAGCCAGGGAUAUCUCCAUGUGCACUGAGCGAUGUCUUCACACACGCAGUUGAGGAGUCAGACAUGAUCUUCAGUCUGAUACUGAAUAAUCUUGAGUAGUACUCAUCUAAAGCCAAGUUACAGCACAGCUGGGAGAUGUGUAACAAGAUGGAUUAAAAGCCUAGAACGGCAGCCAGCCAGCUUUCUCCUCAGUAUCACAGUAGUCAAUAUCACAAAAAUAAAUAAAUGGUCAUUUAAGGCAAUUGUAUAUAAGCACAAACAAUUAAAAUGUUUUGCAUACACAAUACAUAAUAUGCAAAUGAGUGACA